GAUGAACGCUGGCGGCGUGCCUAAUACAUGCAAGUCGAGCGAACAGAUGAGGAGCUUGCUCCUCUGACGUUAGCGGCGGACGGGUGAGUAACACGUGGAUAACCUACCUAUCAGACUGGGAUAACUUCGGGAAACCGGAGCUAAUACCGGAUAAUAUAUUGAACCGCAUGGUUCAAUAGUGAAAGACGGUUUUGCUGUCGCGUAUAGAUGGAUCCGCGCCGCAUUAGCUAGUUGGUACGGUAACGGAGUACCAAGGCUAUGAUGCGUAGCCGGACUGAGAGGGUGACAGGCCACGUGGGGACUGAGGUACGGACGAGACGGAGAGGGGAGGCAGGAGUGGGGAAUAGUGCAAAAUGGGGGGAAGCAGGAUACAGCAAUGCCGCGUGCGGGGUGACGGCCUUCGGGUUGUAAACAGAUUUCGCCUGUGACGAAGCGUGAGUGACGGUAAUGUGUAAAGAAGCACCGGCUAACUACGUG
RNAcentral lists this ribosomal RNA (477 nucleotides) under uncultured bacterium. RNAcentral's name for it is "partial 16S ribosomal RNA". It matches the Rfam family "Bacterial small subunit ribosomal RNA", at positions 28 to 507 of the family's 1533-position model. The record is from RNAcentral.